Molecule: long non-coding RNA, 261 nt
Organism: Numida meleagris (helmeted guineafowl)
Lineage: Eukaryota; Metazoa; Chordata; Aves; Galliformes; Numididae
Exons: 3
Source: RefSeq, a predicted model, not a curated record
CCUUGUGUACCUGAGGUCUUUCAAAGGGUUAGCAGCCAAAGGAGUAGAUUUCUAAUUGGAGAACACUCCUUCUGGAAACAUCACCAACCUUUGGAAAGGGUUGGCCCAUGUGGAGGAUUCUUGUUCAGAAAAUGCCAGCCUUCCUGAAGGCUGUACUGAUGCCUUGCUUCCAGAGGACCAUUUGAUCGUCUCUUGUUGAUGGAAGAUAGAGAAUUUUUAUUUCCUUUGCUUCUGUCUGGCCUUUACUUUAUUUUUCUUUCA